GAGUUUGAUCCUGGCUCAGGAUGAACGCUGGCGGCGUGCCUAAUACAUGCAAGUCGAACGAAGCCUUCGGGCUUAGUGGCGGACGGGUGAGUAACACGUUGGUACCUACCCCGAAGUGGGGAAUAACUGCCCGAAAGGGUGGCUAAUACCGCAUAAUACCGCAAGGUUAAAGCAGUAAUGCGCUUCGGGAGGGCCUGCGUCCCAUUAGCUUGUUGGUAGUGUAAUGGACUACCAAGGCGACGAUGGGUAGCUGGAUCGAGAGGUUGACCAGCCACACUGGGACUGAGAUACGGCCCAGACUCCUACGGGAGGCAGCAGUAAGGAAUCUUCCACAAUGGACGAAAGUCUGAUGGAGCAACGCCGCGUGCAGGAUGACGGCCUCGGUGUAACUGCUUUAUAUGG
Molecule: ribosomal RNA, 402 nt
Filed under: uncultured bacterium
Lineage: Bacteria
Description: bacterial SSU rRNA
Rfam family: Bacterial small subunit ribosomal RNA
Source: RNAcentral